GAUGAAGAACGUAGCGAAAUGCGAUAAGUAGUGUGAAUUGCAGAAUUCCGUGAAUCAUCGAAUCUUUGAACGCACAUGGCGCCUUCUGGUAUUCCGGAAGGCAUGCCUGUUCGAGAGUCAUUAACAACCGUUUCGAUCCCUUUCUUUCAGAAAUUACAAAGAGGAAAAGGGUUUGGUUAUGGUGGAGGAGGGAAAGGGAGCGUUUAGCCUGUAAAAAAAGAGGCUGUGUUCCGCCUCCCCCCCAAAAUUGUACAGGCGGUCGUGUGCGCCCACGCAUCGAGGUGUUGUAAAAGCUGCCACGGCACUUUUCACCUGUGCAGUGCGAGAUUGGCCAGCCGGUUUAAAAACCCCUCCAAACAAUCAAAGGUUGACCUCGGAUCAGGUAGGGAUACCCGCUGAACUUAAGCAUAUCAAUAAGCGGAGGA
RNAcentral lists this unclassified non-coding RNA (425 nucleotides) under soil metagenome. RNAcentral describes it as "partial contains 5.8S ribosomal RNA, internal transcribed spacer 2, and large subunit ribosomal RNA". The stretch from base 1 to 120 matches the Rfam family "5.8S ribosomal RNA", at positions 35 to 154 of the family's 154-position model. The record is from RNAcentral.